GUUUAGGGUUUGAUUUUUGCGCAAAUGCUAUGAGUCUAGAUUAUCUAGUUUAAUUUCAAAUUGUUUUGUUGCAAUCAUUUGAUUUUUCCCCCCAUUUCAGCUAGCGUGAGGGAUAAAAUUUUCCUGUUUAUUUCUCUAUUCCUGUGAUUGUGGCUCGGAAAUUGAGAUUUUGGUAUGAGAAUGUUUCCGAAAUGAAAGAGAAAAAAAGGACUAUGGUCUCAUUGGUACUUGUUGACUGGUGUAGGAGAUAACGCAAAGGGG
RNAcentral lists this unclassified non-coding RNA (261 nucleotides) under Hevea brasiliensis (rubber tree). Lineage: Eukaryota; Viridiplantae; Streptophyta; Magnoliopsida; Malpighiales; Euphorbiaceae. The record is from RNAcentral.